This 291-nucleotide long non-coding RNA is filed under the name Anas platyrhynchos platyrhynchos (common mallard). RNAcentral describes it as "lncRNA (ENSAPLG00000020601.1)". Lineage: Eukaryota; Metazoa; Chordata; Aves; Anseriformes; Anatidae. The record is from RNAcentral.
CCACUAGCCUUUUACAUCCUUGUACAGUAGGAUGUUUCCAGUUUAUGGUUUCUCAUCCCCACUAGAACUGUGAACAUUAAUGGUUCAUCAUUAUUCCUUUGUUUCAGUGAUAAAUGCUCUGACUUUUGGAACUCUUCUGCGCUUGUAUUUGCAAUAAGAUUCUCAUUGUUAUUCCUCACUUUCAUGAAGGUCUCAGCAUCCACAUAACCUCUGGAGCAUGGCCUGCUUGCUUGUCCAGCUUCCCAGGACUCUCACCCUGCCAGCUGUCUGCCAGUUAGGCAGACCAAGAAU